UUUAUAUAAUUAUAUUUUUCUUAUUAUUUAGUUAAAUUUUUAUUUUUAUUUAAAGUUAUAUUAAUUAAUUUUUUUGUUAUAGUAUUCAUUUAAAAUUAAUAUUUUGGGUUAAAAUGUAAAUUAUUAUAUGAAAUAUUUUAAAAAUAUUUAAUUUGAAAAGUAAAAUUAAUUUUUUGUACCUUUUGUAUCAGGGUUUAUUAAUUAUUUAUUAUAAAUUUAAUUUUCUCGAAUUAAUUAGAGCUAAUAUAUUAUUUAAGUUAAUGUUUAAUUAUUAUUUAAAAUAUUAUAUUAGAGGAGAAAUUCUAGUCAAUAAUUAAGAUAUCUAGUUUUUUUAGAAAUAAAUUUAAUUUAUUUAUUAUUUUGGUAUAUAUUAAUAUUUCUUUUUUAUUUAUCUAUUUAAUAAAAAAAAUUUAAGGGAUUAGCUUUGAAUUUUUAGUUAAAAAUAUUAUUAAAAUUUUGAUAAAUUAUAGAUUUAAAAAUAGUUAUUAAUUAAAGUUUUUAAUAAUUUAUUUAUGUGUAAUAUAUGAAAAUUUUAAUUUAUUUUAAUUAUUUAUAAAAAUAUUUUAAUUAAUUAAUUAUUAUUAGCAAUAAUGAUAAAAUUAUUAUAGAGUUAUUUAUGUAAUAGAAUUUUAUUUGUGUAAGUAAGUGAUUAUUUACUUAUUUGAAAUAUAAUUAUAAGGAACUAGACAAAAGUAAUAUUUACCUGUUUAACAAAAACAUGUCUUUUUGAUUUUAUAAUUUAAAGUCUGAUCUGCCCACUGAAAAGUUUUAAAUGGCCGCGGUAUUUUGACCGUGCAAAGGUAGCAUAAUCAUUAGUUUUUUAAUUGAAAGCUUGUAUGAAUGAUUGGAUAAAAUAUUAAUUGUCUCAUAAUUAUUUAUUUUAAAAUUUAAUUUUUAAAUUAAAAAGUUUAAAUUUUAUUAUAGGACGAGAAGACCCUGUAGAUUUUUAUAAAUAACUAUUUAUUUUGAUUAAAUUUAUUUAUUAUUUUAAAUAUUUAUUUAUUUUGUUGGGGUGACAUUAAAAUUAAAUUAACUUUUAAUUUAUCUAUACAUUAAUGUAUGUAUUUUUAUAUAUAAUAUAAUUAUUUAUUAAUUUUUGAUCCUAUUUUUUAGAUUAGUAAAUUAAAAUACCUCAGGGAUAACAGCGUAAUUUAUUUGGAGAGAUCAUAUUAAUAAAUAAGUUUGCGACCUCGAUGUUGAAUUAAGAUAAUAAUUAGGCGGAGAUGCUUAAUUGAAUAGGUCUGUUCGACCUUUAAAUUCUUACAUGAUUUGAGUUCAGAUCGGCGUGAGCCAGAUCGGAUUCUAUCCUUAAUUAGUUAAUAAUAUUUUUGUACGAAAGGACUUAAUAUUUUGAAUAUUUUUAUUAUAAAUUGAAUAAAAUUAAUUUUUUG
RNAcentral lists this ribosomal RNA (1391 nucleotides) under Calameuta idolon. Its description in RNAcentral is "16S ribosomal RNA". The record is from RNAcentral. Lineage: Eukaryota; Metazoa; Arthropoda; Insecta; Hymenoptera; Cephidae.